This 74-nucleotide transfer RNA is filed under the name Paracoccus aminovorans. It matches the Rfam family "tRNA". Rfam says of the family: Transfer RNA (tRNA) molecules are approximately 80 nucleotides in length. Their secondary structure includes four short double-helical elements and three loops (D, anti-codon, and T loops). The record is from RNAcentral. Lineage: Bacteria; Pseudomonadati; Pseudomonadota; Alphaproteobacteria; Rhodobacterales; Paracoccaceae. RNAcentral also lists the same sequence under 1 other name.
GCGGGCGUAGCUUAAUGGCAAAGCUUCUGGUUCCCAACCAGAUGACGAGGGUUCGAUUCCCUUCGCCCGCUCCA